AUUGAACGCUGGCGGCAGGCCUAACACAUGCAAGUCGAACGGUAACAGGAAGCAGCUUGCUGCUUCGCUGACGAGUGGCGGACGGGUGAGUAAUGUCUGUGAAGCUGCCUGAUGGAGGGGGAUAACUACUGGAAACGGUAGCUAAUACCGCAUAAUGUCGCAAGACCAAAGAGGGGGACCUUCGGGCCUCUUGCCAUCGGAUGUGCCCAGAUGGGAUUAGCUUGUUGGUGGGGUAACGGCUCACCAAGGCGACGAUCCCUAGCUGGUCUGAGAGGAUGACCAGCCACACUGGAACUGAGACACGGUCCAGACUCCUACGGGAGGCAGCAGUGGGGAAUAUUGCACAAUGGGCGAAAGCCUGAUGCAGCCAUGCCGCGUGUAUGAAGAAGGCCUUCGGGUUGUAAAGUACUUUCAGCGGGGAGGAAGGGAGUAAAGUUAAUACCUUUGCUCAUUGACGUUACCCGCAGAAGAAGCGACGGCUAACUCCGUG
RNAcentral lists this ribosomal RNA (490 nucleotides) under uncultured bacterium. Its description in RNAcentral is "partial 16S ribosomal RNA". It matches the Rfam family "Bacterial small subunit ribosomal RNA", at positions 30 to 507 of the family's 1533-position model. The record is from RNAcentral.